This 22981-nucleotide long non-coding RNA is filed under the name Heterocephalus glaber (naked mole-rat). RNAcentral's name for it is "lncRNA (ENSHGLG00100048239.1)". Lineage: Eukaryota; Metazoa; Chordata; Mammalia; Rodentia; Bathyergidae. The record is from RNAcentral.
GUGUGCCCUAAGUGACUGUUCCAUUACGGCGAGGAAGAAAUGUUUGCCUUCCUAAGCAUUCAUCCAACUCGCUGCUGCCGAUUGUGUGGGGCCGGAGGAGAGUGCCUGCUCACGAUCGGAAAGCAGCUCCUCUCCGUGUCCUGUGCUGGUGACUUCAGAGAGUGCAUUGUCGUGUAUGGACACCACACCGACCACUCUGUAACCCUCACCCUUCGCCCAGGCCCCUCCCUGCCUGCUCUGGCUGUGCACAGCUACCCCAGAUCCUCGCCCUGCUGUUUGUGGCCCCCACACUUUGAUUUCCCCUCGUGUCUUCACUUUCCACACUUGUACAUCCCGAAAGUUUCCAAGUCCUAUGGAUUCUGCUUCUGUUAUUUCUAAUUCAAAGGUUCUGGGCUGUGCCUUCCAACUGGAUAAAGCUGACCCUGGAAUUGGCACCUGGUGGGUGAGCAAUCAGGGUCCGUUGAAUGAAAAAUGGCCUCCACCUUAAUCAAGGUUUCAGCUCCAAAAAUAAUCCUACGUGUAUCUCUGCCCACUACUGCAUUAUCCUCCAUGACAGUCGGCUUGGAUCACAUUAUUUUAAUGUUCAGCACCUAGCUUUUUCCUGAAUCCAAUGUAAAGUACUCUUUUCUUUUUCUUUUGGCACCAGGGAUCGAACUCAGGACCUUGCGCUUGUGAGGCAGACUCAGUGCCACUGAGCUAAAUCCCUGAUCCCCAAACUACUCUUUUUAAAUACACCCCAACUUAUUUUUCCUCAGUACUCCUUCACAAACUCCUAAAUACCCUAUGCUCAACACAAAACAUACAGUUCCCAAAGGAAGAUCUUCCAGCCUACACUUACCCAACUUUGUGAUGGGAAGAAAGCCACAGGGUAGGCUGGGAAGCAGGCUCUGAAGUUUGAAUUCAGUCUGUUCUGGGCUGGUGAUAGGUGGUGAUGCUUCUUCCCAGUCUGGACAGCAGCAGUGAGUCAUUUCAGCAGGAGAAACGCAGAAACUGUAGGUGGCACCGUGCGGGCAGUGUGUUUUGGAUAUUGUCAUUCAGAAAGUUAACUGAGAUAGUCAAUGCUUAAUUAUAAAAUGGGCUUUGAGUUGGGUGGUGCUGCUUAACUGUAUGUAAGGAAGGCAGGCCAGGCACAGCUGUGAUGUCCAGUAGGUGAAGAAUAGUAAAUACAUUUUUGAUUUUUUCUAUUUAUGAUGGGUUUUAGCCUCAGUAGAAAUGCAGCAGCACCUGUAUUAUUUAUUCAUUUUGGUCUCUGCCUCAUAGCUUAGUUUAUCUUCAUUUCUUCAACCGUAAUGCUUACUCUUGUUUAUUCAGCAGUAUUGGGGAUUGCACUUGGGGUCUUUGCACUGAGCUACACACCCCGUCUUUUCCCUUCUUUCCUGAGUCAAGGUGUCGCUAAACUGCAGAUUUUCCUGGGUUGAUCUCCUGAUUGUGAUUGUCCUGCCUCAGCCUCCUAGAGUGUAUCCGGCUUCACUCAUCUUUUAAAAGUGAAUUUUUACUGGGCUUUUAAGGCACAUUUCAAAUGCUGCCCCGCCCAUGGAGCUACAGUAUUUGGGUUCUGUAUGUCUUUUUCAGCUAAGCUGGAUGUUCUUCCCUUUUCAGGGAAUUUAUGGGAUUCCUACCAGCAGGUACCUGGUCGGGAGAUGGGAGCUAAACUUCCUUUUUUUGUGCCUGGACCCUCAAUGUCUUACACAUAGUAGGCACAUAGAGUACUUUCAUUAAAUUACAUUCAUGUUUGUUUUUUCCUCAGGGCUGCCGGGAUGUUUCUUUCUCUUUUGAGUCCAGGUUGAUGCUCCUCACUGUGGGGCGUGUGUCUGUGUGAGUAGCCCGCUUAGCUCCUUCAGUGAGGAGACAUACGUUGUUUAGUCCUUAUUUUAAACUACUUUUCAGAAUGGGAGAACAACGCCUUCAUUUUGGAUCCAUGUGAUGCACUUUGAAUUUGCUCAGCUUUAGUUUGUGCUGCCCCUCAUUCUGUGUGGAAAUUAGUUCCACCGAAGUGCCACUGAACUCAGAGCUGCCUGCAACUUGAGAUGCAAACUCCAACACUGUGGGCCACUUUUGAGAAGCAUGUGGUCAUUCGGGAAACAAAGACACUCCUGUUUCCUCUUCUCAAUAACAAUUAAGACAUCAGAUUAAUAGAAUCUUUAAAUUCUUGAAUGAUGCUUGCAGAACAGUUUGUGUUUGCUUUAACACAAAGGAAUACUUUCUGAAACCUAAAGGUCACCCAAGAAAUAAGAGAGAGACAAUUUAGGAAUGGUGCAUGCUGGUAGAGUUUUGCAGAAUGGCAUGUGUUCUUUACAGUGUGUUUCUGGCUUUGGAGCCACUUGGCAUGGGAGUACACUGUGAUUUACUGCAGACAGGCAUUCCUGGGCAAGGAGUCCCCUGCAUGGAAGGGACAUGCCAUCAGGAGAAGGAGAGGACACUGGGGGUGGGAUGGGGGAAGAAGACUUCUCAGUUCCCACUCUAGCAUUUACUUAAUGAGUGUAAUGUUCUUGCUAAUGGGAUUUAACCACAAUACCUGUCUCUAACCUUGUCACCGAAAAGGUAGUCUACAUGCCCCUCUUUUCAAUGCUGUCUGGGUGGAAACUGUGCCCAAGUCUGUUCUCCCAAUUUUCUAAGUGGUAAUCCUAGAAUUAUCUUGGCUCAGAAAUAAAUGAAGAACUCAUGUACAGGAGUCAGAUUUCCCUACAGGGGUUGUAACUGAAACAAGGAUUAAGUACCAGUGUACAAAACCUUUCAAGCAAUGGACAGCAUGUCAAUUGCGGAACACUCUAUCGUAGAAGGGCCCUUAGCGCUUCUCUUUUAUAAAGCCUGAGAUCAGAUUUUGGUGGAGAAUUAAAAGCAGGGCAAUUUAGCUCCUUUAAAGGGUUGCUGGUUUGGGAGGACCCAGCUAUUUUUAGCUCUGUUGCUGUCUGUCCAGGAAGCUAAAACAGCUAGUCAAUUAAAUGGUAAACAGUGUGUGUGUGUGUGUGUGUGUGUGUGUGUGCAAGGUGUUGUGUAGGAGUAGGGCAGGGAGCUGGGGAGAUAAAAUAGGCCUCAGAAAAGAGUCUACCCAGGGCAAGAACUUUGCAAAGAGUUGCACAGUGUCAUGCAGAUAAAGCAUCCACUGGUGGCCACCUGUUACACAGUGCACACGUUUAUUUGAUGUUGCGCAGCAGAUGGAAUGGAAUGACACUAAGCCAGCUGAUCACUCAUGCUCAGGCAUCCAUUGAGUGAUGGUCACAAACUCUCUGCCAUUUACUGACUAUCUGCUAUACACCUAGCAUGGCGCUUUACUUCCGGUGUGCCAUUGGAUGUUGACAGCUGCAGCCUGAGAAGCCGAUACAGAGACAUUUUUGCCCAAGAUUACCUACCUGAUAGGUGCCUGAACUGGAUUAGAAUCUAGUUUUCUUUCCAACUCUGCUCUAGUCACUUCUGUAGCCUGCCUCCCACACUGGUCCCAGCUGCACUGACACUAUGUGAUCUGAAAUCGGUGUGUGAGGGCACUUUGGCCUUCCUGGAGAAAGGCAUGGAGCACACACAGGCCCGAUAUGCACACACAGAAAUGUGUAUAUACUGAACCUACAUUUAAAUCCACAUUUUAAGUGUGCCAGUAUCCUUAAAAAGAAAUAAUGAGGGACUCUCAUUUACAUUUUGCUUUCCAGUUUUCCUGGAACUGUAAUUUGUACUCCUCUUUUUUAAAAAAAAUCCCCUUUACCUUCUUUUAUUUAUUAUGAUCCCUGGAGAAUGUGUCCUCUGCUCAUGGCCUAGAUAAGAGAUCAUGGGUAUGGAGCAGAGGUCAGCAAGAUAGACGUAUGUUAGAAAAAAAAAAGAAAAUAGCAGGGUGGAACCACAUGGCUCUUAGUGGUCAUUUUUUCCCCUCAUGCUGUGUAGCAAACCUGAGGCAUGCUCAAUUUGGCAUCUUUGAAUUUAAACCAUGGAUAAACCAAAUAGAUCACAAACUAUGAUUCCAAAUAGAAACUGUGGAUUUAUCCGAAGGUAUAUUAUAUGAUCUCAUCCAAACAUAAAAUUCAUAUUCUAAGAGUGGUGUGUAAAAUUCCCCGAGAUUUUAGUGCAAGAUAAUUUUCCCUUUUCAUGUGCCUUUCCUCAUAUUGAGAUAGGUGGAAAUCUUUUAAGAUUUUAAUUAACCUUCGUCCUAAUGAAAAACCAACUACCAAUCUAUAGAUGGAAGGAUAUUUCCUUGGACAAUGUAGCCGUUAGUGUAAGGUCUUGUUGAAUCUCUUUCAACAAGUGUUUGGAAAAAAUCAAAUUUAGAAAUAAACAUUCAUAUCUAGAGGGCCUAUCGGGGUUUCCCUCCAAGCAGACAAAGGAAUACUUUCAGUCUUAUUAUAUGUCUUUGGACAAGCUCAGCUCUCAGGGCCUGCUGAGCUCUAAUAUCUUACGAAUCACUAACAGUCAAACUUCUUUCAUUUUGAGGCCCAUUCCUGGAGGGAUAAAGAUAAUGUGGUCAAGGAUGCAACAAUCAGCUGUUGGACUCAGAUGUGGCUGUAGAUAUAAAACAGAGUAUCUCUUCCUUUCCAGAUCAAAGGGAGAGAGUCCUUAGAAUGCUCAAGUUCGAAGUAGACAAAGAGGAGAAGGAAUAUCUAGCAUCAAAAUAGUGGCAAAUAUAAAAAUCUAGGCUUAUUACUGAGACCUAGGAAACAAUUCUCAAGGAAUGUUCCUGCUGCCAGUUACCUGAGAUUUUUUAAUUACAGGCAAUUCAUGAUUACCUGUGAAAGGAGGGAUGGAGAGGAGAACUCAAACAAUGAAUGUUGCAAAAUCAUACAAAUUGGCUUGGGAAUAUUCUGCAUGAUUUCUCCCUCUUAGAAAUUUGCCUUCCUAAUUGUAUUUUGCUUAAUCCAAUAUUAAAAAUUAGUUGGUUUCCCCUGAGAAGCUCUGGAGUUAAACUGCAGAGGGAAUUAGUUUCAGGAGCAUGCCACUUGGAACGUGGUGGAUGAAACGUAUUCGGGCCUUAAUGGACCAAAAGCUCCCACAGAUAUUUUAAUCUUAAAGGAAAGUGUCAUCUUGAGCACCUUACUAGUCUUCUCAUGUUGCCUAAAAGGCUGUAAACAAGUAUUUGUGAUCGUUAUGUAGGUGAGAUUAUUUCUACCUAGAUUUGUGCAUUUUUACCUGGAGAAUGUUCCAUUCUCGUCUCUCCCCUCCUUGGUAGCUGUAGUAAAUAAUAAACCAUCUAUCAGACUUAAGCAUAGGGCCUUAAUGGGGCCAGAAAUUUUGUUGAAUAAAUGAGAACAUUACUUAAGGCAGGUCUGGGUCUCAUUGUGUGACACCCAAGCAAUCCAUGAGGUGAUGUUUGUGAUUUAGGAAUCCGAACCCUUAGGCUAUAGAGUUGUUUUCUUUGGGGUUCCAGACUAAGUUCCCUUUGCUUCCUUCCCAACUUCCUUAAUUCUUUCCUUUCUCCCUCCCUGCCCCAUUUUUUAUAUUUGCCUUGUACCAUAUUGAAAUUAUUUCAUAUUGUAAUGUUCCGUCAGUAUAUACAAAUUCAAAAGUAGACGUACAUCCCUUCAGCUUAUAGUGCAUCUACAACUGAAAAUCCAAAACAAAUUUGCACACUGAAUUCCAACAAAAUGACAAAUGCCGCACUCAGAUGAACAAUACUGAUUUGACGUGAUGAACGACAGUGAGCUAACAUUAAGUGCUCACUUGUGGCAGUGGUGGUGGACCGACUGGUAGGCUGGUGAUGCUUUAAUUUUAUCAUACCUUUCUGUGUUUGUGAUGUAGAAGACAGUUCUAACAUCUUACUUAAAUCCCCUAGAAAGCUUUGGUCCACAUAAGUGUGCUGAUAGAUCAUGUAGCCUCACGAAUCCAUAAUCCAUUUUUAGGUUCACAAUCAGGUAUUGUGGGUCCUGGUGAGUAUGUAGUUUUGGGGAGUAUUUUAAAUAAAAAGUUAAAAGGUAAUGAAAGCAGAAUAAGUGGGGUUCCUCUCAGGCCCUUGGAAAGAAUCUGUACAGAGCAGUGCUGAACAUCAGGCAUUCUUAGCUUCAAAUCCAUCUUCCAAAUCCAUCUCGUUCAUGGGUCAAGCACUUCUCUACUUUCCUUUUAUUACCAAUAAAAAUGUCCAACCGGGUAACAAUGAGGAGUUGUAUUUUGUUUUCAUUUUAAGGAUAUAGUUUUGCAUUAUACAUUGGUACUUUUUAAAGGUAAUUCUUAAAAUAAAAACAGAAAAUUAGAUAUGGUUAUUUGUAGCACAGAUGGUUGCACAAUCUUUUUAUGUAAACUAUUUCUCCUAUGAUGGAUUCCUACAAGGAAACCCUGGGAGAAAGUUUUGGGGCUUGCCUUUUUUUUUCAGCAUUCGUUUAAUUUACAGAGGUCAUGGAAAUAGAGAGGUCAGCAUUUCUCAAGAACAGCUUUUCCCAACCUGCCUGGCUUCUCGGAGCUUGAUCUGGGGGCUCACACAGCCCUUGUCAUUGUCUGGCACCUCGCCUGGUAACAUGGUUGUGAGCCCUGUCAGAAGACAGGGCCAAAGUGUGCCUCAGGUCAGCAUUUCUCUGGGGACCGAGGGGGCAGGCAGAACCCAGAGGUCAGAUCUGCCUUGGGGAUAACAUUGCAGAGUCCAGUGGUUGCAAUCAGGUGUGUUAUAAGUCAAAGCCACAUGGCAAACAGCAGGCACAGGGAAUGCUCAAAGGUCAGAUGGGCAACACAAGCCAGGGUCAGGAAGAACUUGGAGCUACAAUACCAGUUGGCAAGCAAAGCAGUCAUAAAAACCAUGAUCAGGCACAUUAUGCCUGUUGGACCUAAAUUCUUUCUGCCUACGAGACUGCUGUGCUCAGAGACAUUGGCUCUGGUACCAUGUGAGAGCACCUGGUAGACUGGAGAAUAAACUAUUAUACUCAAGAUCUAACCUGCCCUCUCAGGUUCUCUUCUCUCUAAGACAGGACAGUGAUGUCUCCACUGAAGUGACCUCCAUCGUACAGGUAUCCAGGAUACAUGCUCUGGGUGGAGCUUAGUUCUAAGAGAAUGUUUAUCUUGGAACCUUCUAAGGCUUUUCAUCAAAUAGUCCUAGCUUUCUUACUCCUUGCUUUAUGGGGUUGUUGUGAAUGGGUUUUGUAAAUAAUAAAGGACUACCACAUACCAGAUGACUACAAUCCUUUCUUUCCAGUGGGGAUUCUGAUGUUUAUAUUACCUGAAAGUUGUUUUCAAGUGAGGUUCUCAGCUAAUAAAUAUUUUUUUGGGUUUUCUUUCUAUUUUUUUUUUCCUUGAUUGAGCCUCAUCUUUUUGGUGACCAAUAAUUUAUUGGAAAUUUUAUCUGAGAAAAAUGUUUGCAGAGAUGGAGAGUUUCCCAGAUUCAAAAGAGAUUUUUCUUCUAAAACUCAGAGCUGGUAGAGCUACAAGACCAGCCUCUUUGUCUAAUCAAUCAGGUUUUUAACACAAUACACCCAGCUGAUGCUUGGGUAGAAUACAAAUUCCCAGUCAUGUGAGCUCUUAUCAGUUAUAAUACUGACAAAGAAUUAGCCAGUCUCUUUUGGUAAAAUGAUAGUUGCGGGCGCCUUAAUUUUUCUAGAAAUAUUUGGGGGAUUUGAAAGCUUAAGAAGUAAACAGGUUGUUUUGCUCAGGAAACCUUCUCUGAAAGACUGAGCAGGGUUCAUCUGAUGACAUUAGCUUUGCAAGUAAUUUCCAUGAUGUCAAGGGCACACUGGAGAUUAAAGAGGGAUUAAGACCUCCUUGCACAGUUAUGGCAUUGCAGUAAAUGGACUGGACUUGGCAGGCUGCAGCUCCGGUCGGCAACUUUCCAACACCUAAUCAUACACAAUAUAGGUUUGUGGUGUUACCUGGGCUAUUUUCACAGAGGCCAAGAAAUGUUUAACAGAUAAGGUGGGAGGAGAAAGAGGCUGGGAAGGAGGGUGGACCUGAGAAGAGCAGUUUAAGACACACCUGCCACCAUCAAGAGCUGCCGAAGAAGAUCAAGACAUUAAGGAAAAACAAUUUUUUUCAUAAUGUUUCAAAACAUGAGUUUCCAUCCUUUUUCCACUCCCAAAUUCUCCAGAUAUGCCUCUCUCUUAAAAGCUUUUUAUCCUUCAUGUUAUUAUCAAUUUCUUCAGCAAAAGGAGGCAGGUUUGUCCAGGAACUUCAUGGAAUAAAAAUGAGUUUAUGUUUUAAAACGGAAACAGCUGGAUGGCCAAAGCCAGGCAGGGAGGCAGCUCUGGUUUCAUCAGCAAAGGGAAACUCAAGGGCCUGGAGAGAACAACUGGGCUGGCAGCCAUGGCGGGGAGAAGAAAAGGAAACACACGAUCAUAAAGAACUAAUCAUGAUGAAAAAUGAAAAGCGAGAAAGAGCCAAGAACAACAAGCAAUAAAUAGAUUUGGAAAGGGGAAAAGACCAAAGGAAUGCAAAACCAUACUCAGGAAAGGGGCAGCAAGAUCAUGUGCGUUUCAUUGAAAAAUGUUUAAUAAUUCUUAAAAUCAUUAAAGAGUCCUACAGAAAUGUUUGGAGAUAACUUGUCAGACCUGAGAUUUAAUUCUUUGUGUUAUUUCAAAGCUGAUUUCAGUGCAUGAAAAGAAACAAAGUAAGAAAGGAAGAAAGGAAGAAAAGGAAAGGAAGAAAGAAGGAAAGAAAGAGAAUCAAAUGGACCUAGAGGGAGGAAUCUAAUGUAUAAUGUGCCAGAAUGCUUGGAUUUUUUUCUUUCUGCUUUUAUUUUUUUUUAACUUUUAAUUUCAGCCCGAUGGUAGGGAAAGUAAGCAAUUAGUUUGACUCUGUAGGUUCAAAGACUACAUCCAGGGCUGGGGAUUUAGCUCAGUGGUUUUGCCUCCUGCUGCGCAAGUGCAAAGACCCGAGUUCGAUCUCCGGUACCAAAAAAAAAAGGACUACAUCCAAAGUGAUAAAUCCUGAGUUUCUAAGAGUAAUUCAUACAUUCCUAGCUUUAAUUAGAAAUAGCAUGUACAUUUUUCUCUAUGCAGUAAUUGUCUGACAUUCAUGUGUUUGUCUCAAGGGACUGACAGUUCUGACUCACAGGUAGAUCUCUAAAUAUUUUCAGAUGAAAUUAACAUGGAUUUAAGGAGGACUUAAGAAGAAAACCAGAUCCUAGUUUGUUGUCCCUCUUGAAGUGUGUUCGACAUGAUAAAAUAUACAAACAUGGCCAAUUGUCCAGGCUAUCCUCGAGAUGGGAUUUUUAAUAAAAACUAUUUGAAGUUUUACAGCAGUUAUAGAUAAAAUCUUACCACAGAAAUGGUGCUGUCUUUUUAUAGGGGGGAUACUAAUUAUUAGCUUUUUUAAAAAAAUUAGUUUUUAAUAGCAGCAUUCGUUUAAAGAGAGAAAAAAAUGCUUAUGUUACCUUCUGGAAUGUACAUUCAUCUUGUUAAUGACACUGUAGUUCAUGGUUGGCAAAACAGGACUUCUGAAUCAACCUGUCUUUUUCUUUCCGUUUGGUAGUUACACUUGAGAAAGAAAGCCAGCCCACUAAAGAUACAUGAAAAGUGCAUGAAGACAGGAUAAAGGAUUUCCUAUGAUUUUAUGUUGUUCUUAAUUAGGAAGCAUAUUGGCAACAAAUGCUAACAUGUGUUAAGAUGUUUAGUUGUAGCCAAAUAAAUGUUUUCUAUUACAACUCUGAAUUCCAUGCCUACUAGGAAACCAUGCUGUUCUGUGCAUGGCUUACAAAAUCCCUUUACAAAUCAUCUCAAGGACCAAUUUUCUGUUGGCUCACAGAGCAAAACUACUUUCGCCACAUGUUCUCCUGAAGGGUCAUGGGCAACUCCAAGCGGAAGUCAAAGACAAGAGGAACAUGAUCUCCGAUGUUGGAACUGCACUGCUUUGUGGUAAUGAAUGGUCCUUCAUGAGCAUACUCAAUGUGAGCCCAGUCUCAGAAGGGGGUGUCCAGAAGCUAGGGAGCAGCACCCUCUCAUCUGUGUUUGUUUUUAUCUCAGUGGAGGAGAAGCCAAGUGAAGAAGAAUUUCCUAUAACUUCUGCUAGCAGUGUAUCACAAAAUGCUUCAUCUCCGAUGAACAAGAGUAGGCACCAAGCUGAGUAACAAGGCUAGAGAGGAUCCUUAUCUUGAUCAUUGCGUAUUUUUAAAGAGCAAACAUUUAUUUUCUACUUCUAAUGUCAGAAGUUGAUUGAAAAAGAACAAAAAGUGAAUGGUGGUGAAGUUGUUUCCUAAAAUUUAAUAUUAGGGCACCUUCUCUAUUCAGGAUCUUAUGUUGCAAGCUAACUGUACAACUGUCAUGCUUUUGGGGGGUAACUGGUGCAUGGAUUAUUCUAUCUGUGUCUUAGAAACUUUAAGAGAAAAGAUUUCCAUCAUGGUAUUUUCUACUGCAUUGCACAGAAAUUUUACAUACCCUCAUUCAUUUACACAGCUGAAAUGACACAGGAGAUAGCCAGCAUCUGUCCAUUGGUUGGAAAGCACUCUAGUUUUUUGAUAUCAAUAAGUCAAUGGAAUCCAUGACUUACAGCAAUCUUGCGGUAUUCAUUCAAUAUGCUAUGACCAUGUUACCUAAAAGCUUCAUCUCUGCUCCCUGCAAUAUUCUUCCUCCAAUUUUUGGCUGGUGUGUUCUCUCCCUUCUUCAUGCCUUUUUUCAAUUGUCCCAAUUCCUGAAGCUUCUCCUCAUGUCUCAAGUAUUCUCUUUCCCUGUGUGCAAUUAUUUUGUUUUCUUCAUUAAUUUAGUUCCUCUCUCCUCUUCUAGGCUAUACAUUUCAUGAGGAAAGAAAGGCAUUUUGGUGUCAUUCUGGUGCCUAAGAACCUAAGUAGGAGAUGUGUAAUAAAUAAUUUGUUCACUGAAUUAACAGGCCCAUAAUAUUUUUGUUAUUCCUCUCACAUCCAUGGGCAACAUGUUCAAAACCUUGAAAAUUAUUAAAUCAUUUCUCUGCAUUGCUAUGUAAAACUUCUAAUAUUCCUAAUAAGACUGACCAUGCUUAUGAAAUCUUUUUUCCUUGGCCCACUGAGUAUAUGGACCACGAAAUAUUUAACAAAAAAGUGAGACUGUACAAAGAAGCACUAGGUUAGUGAAAGAUGAUUUUUUUUUUUUAGUGCUUUUAGGUGGUGACCUCUUAACAAUGUAUCAGAUCUUUUGUAAACCGUGAAAUGAAAUGACUGGCUAUCGGAACUAAAUUUGAAGAGAAAAACUGUCAUCUUCAAAGCAGUAAAAUCUCUAUAUAACCAUGUAAACUAAUUACUAGGUUAAGUAAAAUCACUGAAAUAUAUCAGGCCUUUCUCAUGUCUGCAGGGCAGACAUAAUACAGUAAAUUUCUAAUAGUCAGCCUGGGAAGGCGCUGUAAUGGUUAGAGGAUGUCAUGGUAAUAGUCUCAGUUUUGGUUGGGAGACUUACAAAGAGAAUAUUGGUUGUACAUAAACUGUAGAAUCUACUUGAAUAUUUCUUUUUCAUUUCUCCCUAUCAAAGAGUGGAAGAUAUUUUGUGUAUAAUGUUUUUUUUUAAUUUUAGAUUAUUUGGUAUAUUGUAUUUUUUCAUGUGGGUAACAAAAAUACGUGAGCAAGAGCAAAACCUACCAGAAGCCUCAAAAACAUAGGUACCAUGGAAGACCUCAUGAUUCUUUCAAUUAUUAAAAAGCACUAUUUUAAGAAGACAUGUUAGUAAUCCACAGUAAGUCAGAAGUAUUGGAUCAACACAUUGGAACAUUGAGUAUUUAUUUAGUUUUUGGUGCUGGGGCUGGAACCUAGGGUCUCACAUGUGGCAGGUAAAUAUUCUACAACUGAGCUGUACCCCUAGUUCUGAAUGUUUGUUUUAUUAGGUCAUUUUAUAUACAUAUAUAUUUAAAUUUGGGACAUUGUUUUCUAAAGUCUCAAACUACUCUUAUACUCAACCCCGAAGACAACCCAGCUCACCACUCUGGAUUACGACUAACUGUUUGCGUAUAUGUUUUUCCCAAGAAAUUAUGCACCUUGAAGAAAAAGACUUCAUUUUUUUUUGCUUCACAAUAUUUCCCAUGACCCAGUGCAUGGAAUGGAUAAAUUACCCUUAGCAGAGGCUCAUCAGCGAUUCCUGACUUCCCUGCUAACUUUUCCUAGAGAUGUGAAUUAAAGAUAGAAAUUUGUUCAGACCAUUGAUGGUCCUCAGAAAUACAAUCUUAAAAAGUUGAUAUCUAUCCGGUCUCAAUUCAUGGAGAGCGGUGGGAACCAGACCUCUGAAAAGUGGUUGAGUAUUGGGCUACAAGCUUAGGGGAUAGUCCAUGAGGAAUAAAACCAAAAACAUACAUUAACAUUUAUUUGCCCAAACGGCUGGUGCCUUAAAAGCUGGUGCCCUCCCCCAUUCCAAUUAACAUGGAGGGAAAUAUUCCAGCUGCUGGGAUCUUUCCUCUGCAUGCGAACCUGCCGUUGUUGCCUGGGUAGCCUGUGUGUCUCUUUGGAAUUGAUAAUGAGGUUCAAGAGAGAGAGGUAUGGCCUGUACUAAGCAUGUCACCCCUAUUUAGCACCUUUGCCAGGAUGGCAGCCACUAUUGUUUUAUUAUGUCCCUGAUCAGCUGGCACUAUUCAUAAAGUAAUCACUGCCAUUAACACAUCACGCCUCAAGCCAUCUGCUGCAGCAUCACGUACACCAAGCUGUUGGUUGCAAGCAAAGCAGGUGUCAUCUAAGGAUAGUGGCACGGUAAAGGUGGGAAGUCAUCAUAGUGAAAGAAGAUAUGUUCUAUCAAAUAAUUCCAUAUUUUGAUACAUUAUAGUAUAAUAGGCCAUGGUUAUUUUGCCCAACUUGCAGAUGGCUUAAAUAAGAUAAUUCAAGUUUGAAAUAUUUUAUUUUCAACACUGGUCAGUUAUGGAGCCAAAAAUGUCCUUGAAUACCUUGAUGAUAGCAUCUUGAUCACAAGUGGACUAUUGCAUUAAUUUGCAGUAAAGUUUAGAGCAUUCUUACAGAAGCCUUCCUCUGAUCAAUCAACUCUUCAAGUGACAAACAUUUACUGAGCAUGUAGUAAGUGACACUGAUACCUGUCUUGCUCAAAUUGUAAAAGUACUAGUUUAAAACAUGAUCUGGUAAUGUAUAUGGUAGAGACUCCAUGUGUACUGAAUUCCCACCCUUUGUUCUGUCCCUAACACUUCUCUUGAUUUUUGAAUAAUUUUAAGUUUUUAUUACUUUCCAUAUUGAUGGCAUUUUUAUGUCCAAAACAAGUUUACAUUGGAAAAAUAUAAUGAUUAAAUGCAAUCUAUAAAAAUGGAUAAAGUAUAGGAUGAUCAGUUAUUGCCACCCUCUUCAUUAUGAAGGGGAUUUGUGAUUAUACAAUCAUGAGUGGAGUUAAAAAUUUAAUUGAAAGUGUUAAGUGAGGUUAGGGAGUGAAAUAAGUGAUCAUACUUGGUCCAAAUAGUCUUUUCCACCUGCGUGUAAAGUGGAACUGCAUUCCUUGUUUCUUUAACUAUAGAAAAUUUAUCUAUUUGCUCUGUACUCCCCCCAUAAAAAAGAAAUAAUAAAACAUUAAUGAGAGUAGCUAACUCUGCCCUCUAUUUCAAUCCCCAAGCUUUGCUCUUAUCUUGGAAGUGAGAAGUGUUGGAUGAGGGGUUGGAUCUGCCAGCCCCUCUGUUACUUUUAGCAGCAUCCUGCUCUUCACUUGCUAAGGAUAUAUGUGUCUGGCUAUGCAGGCUGUGGUCCUAGGGUCCAUGUAACACAGCACUGUUCACCAGGACACACCUGUCCACAUAUCCUCUAGGCUACUGGGUGGUCUAAGGGAUUUUUAAGGCUAAAUUUGACUUUACAUUUAGAACUUCACCUCUAUGGGUGUAUGUUAAUCACCCAUGGAAUUGGUGAAGGCUACCGGAUUCCAAAAUCUAUUGAAAGCAAAGAUAGCCAUUUUCUAUAUCAAGAUUUCUCAACUACUUUUGAACUCAACUUCCUUUUGAAAGACAAAAGAAAUGUCAAGCUCUCUUCUCAUCCCUGAAGAUUUGUGGAUCCAUCUGUUGUCACCAAAAAGACACUCUCAAGAUCUACUUUUGUAGGUGGAGUUAAGAAAAACGUUUUAAAACUUCUCUUCUUGCCUUUACACCCUGAGAAUUUGGAGUGUAGAUUUCAGAUGGGAAGUAGACUACUUUUCACUAUCAAAUACUCAAUUGAAGGCAAGAUUUAGUUAUUUUGACUUGAAGAUUGAAAUUUUGGAGUCUGGAAUGGCUACCUUUGAAAAUAUAAGUGAAGAUAAAAAGACACAAAUGAAGAAUCAAAGAACAAGCUAAUGAUUAUUGUCCUUUUCUAAGGGGACUACAUAUGCUCAAUAAAUCUGUGAUUACUGACUACCUACUGACUUACAGGGACAGGCAUGCUGAUGGUUUUGGAUACUGUAAUUUUAAGUUGACUUUGCCACAUGUGAUUUAAUACUUUGAAUACAAAGCCCCCAAAUUGUUUGCUAUUUUGUUUGGAUCAAAAUGUGUAGCUCAAAUGACUUUGUAAGACUGGCUUCUCAAACUAUCACCUGCCCUUACAUCAGGCUCAGAAAGAACACAAAGACAAAAGACUCUUAGGUCCACUUCUGAUGCAUUACCAGCUCUUGCAAAUGCUCAACCAAGAAAAUACAUAAUGGUUCCUCUUUCGUCACUUUUGUUAAAAUAUUUUUGUUGAAAGUUGGUAAAAGCUGUAGAUGAGCAAGCCUGGUCAUAGGUUUGAACCUGGCACAAACGACGAGGGCACCUGGGAGAUAUUCUCCCGCUGAACAUGUCCACAGUACAGUUUUUGCCUCAGGAGCAUGUUCACUGUGGCUCUGCAGGACCCAGUUGUGUGAUAGUGGGAGGCUGAUCGACUUAAAGCACAUUGGUAGCUUGUGAACACUUAAGACUGGAAACCUUCUUUGAUAAAUGCACAUCUGUCUUCUUUUUUUGAAGUCCUUAGGAAAAAUGUUGCCGGACAUUUUGCUGCCCGGAGGAGUCUAGACUUCCUUAAGCAUAAACCUUAAUCCUUCCUGGCUUCCUGCUACAAUUCUUCUGUUUCCUCCCCCAUCUUUUUCUGGGCAAAGCCAAUUCUUUUUCUCUACUCUUACCUGAGGGUCUCUGUUCACUUUUGAAGCCACAGACAAUGCAAGAAACAUUUAUUCGAAUACCUAGGCCCCAAAUGUUUCUGGAAAAAUAAAAGAUGUGUGACCAAGGACAUUACUUACCCUUUCAAUCUGUGAAAUGGAGACAAUCCAGAGAUAUCCCCUAAGGGGCCUAUGGGUAAUCAUAUAAUGUUUAUAACUCUAUAAAACAAUGGGAUACUUAUCCUUGCAAUUUGUAAAUAUAAAUUUAUAAAGACUAUAACAGUUUAACUUAUUAUAGUACUUAUCAACAUUGUUAUGUGAGUACCAUGCACUAGCCCAUUGUGUCACUGAAACCCCCUUACUGAUGUUGUUAAACACUCAGGCUUCCAGAACAUACUAAGUGUUCAAUAAAUAUAAUCAGUUACUAUUUAGAGUAAGAUAAAAAGGUAAUAAAAUAAAGCUGUAAUUCUUGUAUGUACACAGCAUGGAGGAGAAAGACUACACAGCAUGGCUAAAGACUUGGAGAUCUGACUUGAAUAUUUUAAAGGACGUAUCUUAAAGAUUUUUGGAUGGUUGUGUCCCCUCUAAACACAGCAGAAUGGUGUUCUUGCUGUUGUGCUGUUGGAAGGACGUGAACUUCCAGUUCCUGGGUCUGAGCUCUAUGUCUGAUUCUGCCACAUACCUGCAGCCCUGUGCCCUUAGCCUCCUUGAGGUAAAAAGCUUUGCUCCACCCAACGUCCCUGCCAUGAUGUUCUGCCUCAUCCCAGAACCAAAAGCAAUGGAGACAAGUGACUAUGGACUGGAGCCUCUGAAACUGUUUUUACUUGAAGACACCGAGAACUACAGCAUCAUUCAUUGUUGGCAUGUUACAGUAGAAAGACCACUGGGCUUGGGAGUAAGAAGAUGGAAAUCAAAGAGCCAGUUUUUUCACUUCAACAAAAUGGUGCUGAAGAAAUAGGAUAUUUCAGUGGUUCCUGAGCAUAACUUACAACAUCAGCAUGGUUGGAACUCUGUGCACACAUGCGUACACAUGGAUUACCCUCCUGAGCCUUUGGUUCAAAAGAUUGGAAAUUGAUUCCUAUUGUUUACAAGCAGCUGGUGUCAAUGACUACUGAUACAUCCAUUGAAUUCUAGUUUCUUCAUUUGUAAAACAGGAAUAGCAUUUCCUAUCCGUCAUAAACGAUUGUUGUGAAGAUUAAAUGCAACAAUAGACUUGUGGCACAGGCAUAAUGCUCAGAGGAAGCUCCCUUGUUUCUUCUUCCAGUGAGCCUUCCUUGUUGUAGCUCAGAGCUUCCCAAAGGGGAUUAGCUCCAUGGGAUGCUCUGCGGAAUGACUGUGUCUUGGGCAGUUGUAUUUGACACUUAGUCUUCCUUCCUGCUUGCUAAUGGACCAUUAGAACUUUAAGGACUCUAAAAUGAGCAGAAGAAAACGGACUGGUUAAAUCUGUUGCACUCAGUGUCCCCCAAAAAGUUAUUUUACUAUUAAACUUUUUAAAGUGGCAAUUAUUAAUUGAUGUUCAACAGAGCAUGCUUCAGGGAUCACUUCCCUCUACAAUCUCUAACUAAUGUUCUACCUUUCUAUAACCUCUCUCAGGGAAUUUACUGCUUGUUUUGAUCUGAUUAAGACCCAGGCUUUCUAAUCAUCCCGGACAAUAUCUGCUCUUUUUCUGAACUACUAAUUUCAGUGGACACUCAUAUUAGUGAUGAUUCUAUUUAACUUUAACUUCCUGAGAUUAUGAAGGUAGAACACAAAUUAUCUUGGAAGAAAUUAAACCAACAAUUUAGAAAUAAAAUUAAUAACUAAACAGUAAAAAUUCACAAGUACAAGGGUGUUAAAUAAAAAAAGAGAACAUUAUAUUUUGAGAGAGCAUAACUUACUCUUGCACCCAGUUUGAUGGGAUAAAUUUAAAAGUACAAGUUUGUCUGAGAGCUAAAUUAAUCCAAUAGUCAGAAAUACCUUGAUAAAAACUUAUAAAUGAACUAAAAAUAGUUAAAUGAGAUUGCUGCUGGAGGAUAACAACAUUGAAGUUGCCAAUCUAAGAGCUAUUGAGAAGCAGAAUAUAGUUACGUAGGUUUUUGGGGUGACAUAAUUUGCCUGGUCUGUAUUUUUAAAGGAAGGUGGACUAUUUUGUUUCUAUACAUCCUCCUGGAACUGAGAAUGUAUAUCUUUAGUUGAGGUGUGUCUAUAAAAUAAUGUCUUACUUAUUCAGGCCUAAGUGGAAGAGGGUACACCUGUAUGGAUGCAUGGCUUGAGGCGAAUGAGUGAACAAGAUAGUUGGAUUCAGGGUAUAAAGUUCAAAGCCAGGUCAGGAAGAGUUAGCAUUAAGACUUUGCUUCUUCAGAUAACUACUCAAUAUGUAUAUUUUUUGCAAGCAUCUUGCUUUUGCAGGUCUGCUAUGAAAAUCUCAGAAGAACAGCUUUGCUUGUGAGCUCUCCCACAUUUCUACUCUGGUCCUGGCCAGAAAGACUGUGAGAACACCCUUUCAUUUGGUAUUUGAGCCCUUCUGCCUCUAUUCCUGGCUUCAGACCAAAGGGAAUAAAUGCAACCGAACAUUUCAGAACCUCGAAAUAGUAAACCGAAAAUGGUUUGCUCUGCUUUUGGUUCUAAAAAUGAUUGACCUGAGAAUUUUUUUUCCAAACUAUCUGCUUGGUCCAUCUCUAGUGUGGAUUACUGGACUUUAGAAACCUGAGGAGGAGAGUAUUUCUUAGAAAAUACAUAAAGAAAAUAUGCAAACAAAAUUUUUAUAAUAAAGGUGCCCAGUUGCUACAACAGAGGUUAGAUUUUACGAGCAUGGUUUAUAUUCCUGAGUAUUUAAAGCAGAAGAGGCUUGGAUGAGAAAGUGGAAAACAUGGGCUUGUAUGGUGAGCCAGUUCAUCACUAGCUUAGUGACCAGGGCAGAUUCCCUAGGCUUUGUCUCCUCUGGGCAAAAUGAAUAGAAAUCAAAAGAAUUAUACUUAUUUUAAUUGAGUCAUUAUGAAGAACAAGGUAUUUCAGAAUACCUUAAAAAUUACAGUGCCAAAGACCAUGUGAAAGUCAGUAAAUCAUAGGGACUACAAGUUUGUAUGUUACCACCAAACACACCUGGUUUCAAAUCUCUGUUCCUCUGCAUUCCAGCUCUGUGACCUGCGUAUGUCACUAAAAACCUCUGAACACUGAUUUCAUCAUCUGUGAAAUGAGGAGAGUGAUGUUGGGAGAAGAAAGUCAAAUGAUGUAAAAUGGUAUUGAUGAUGCCUAUUGUACAUACUCAUAGUUCCAGGUGCCAAUCUAGAGAACCCUCUGAACUAUUUUCCACACAGUUACUUAGUCUUCUGAAUCCCAUUGAGUUGACACAAGAAUGAUGCCCAUGUGUUGGGUGGCUGCGUAGGGGGUCAGUUUACUUGCUUGGAUCCAAAAUAUGGAUUAGGCUCAAUGGGAAUAUCCAAAGGAGAAAGUAGAACACUCUGGCCGGGCUAUGCCAAGUAUAAAGCAAUGCUGAUUUGGGUCAAUUUUUAGCAUCCACUUUUCAAUAGCAAAGAGAGAAAGGUGAAAGGUAAAACUAUAUGCAGGGCCACUUUUUGUGGAAUUAGAACACCAGGACAGAUUUUCUUACAUUAGGGAUAGGAUACUUGUUUUGUGAAAAACAGGUAUUCACUAUAACUAAAUAUACAAUGUCACUGGUAGUUUACUUGAUAUUCCCUACACACAUUAAGGAUAGGAAUUUAGUAAAUAUUUGAUUUGAUUAAAUAUUAAAGUAUCAUAUAAGUCUUCCAAUGAAAACACUGUCUUUAAUCCACCCAGCAGGACUUACUGUUCUGCUACCCCUCUAAGGUGUUUGUUAAAUAGCAUUCUCUCUUCCUCCCUUCAUAGUUAAAGUUUUUGAGUGAAUAAUCCUAUUGGCAGCAUUUCUUCAUGGAUUUGGAAUCCCUACAUUUCUCUCCCUCUGGGUAUUGACACUUCUGGGCACUUGUGACUCCCCAAGGGCCACAUCCAAUGACAGUUUGUAAAUGAGAUUCUCUUUUGCCAUUUUGCAUCUUUUACCUUCUGCAGCACUUUUUUGUCCCCUCCCCCAAUUACAGUGAAUCCUUUUCUGUCGCCUUCAGGUGCUUCCUUGGGAUUCUGUCCUUUAUCGCCUUCUCUUUACCCCAUACCUUAAGCCAACCCUGCCAAUCUACUACUCUAGUUAUCUCCCCUACCCGAAACUCUGGGCCCCCAUAAUGUUCCUCCCAAGCUUGUUAUCUUCACCUGGAUGUCGUCAAGCUUGGUGUCCAAAGUCAAAGCUCAACAACUGUCUCUGUAAGCCGGCUCCCCUCUCCUGCCCCCUUCACUUCAGCCAUUUUGUUUGUAUAUGAAAAUAAACUUCUCCUGGUGGGAAAAAUUCAAACCCUCAGCACUAUCUUGGUCCCAAGGCUCUCGUUUGACCUCAAGUUCCAGGAAAUUCCCAUGUUUAGUUGUGAGCCUGUCAAUUUUAUCUAACUAUGUCUGCCACACUUACAGGGUGGACAGAUGAUGCUUCGAGGGUCUCUGGUUCUCUCUGGGAUGUGUACUCAUGCGUUCUGAAGACAGUUGCUAUAACUCCAGCCAUUUCUUCUGUAUUUUAGACAGGAAAAGGAGAUAGACCACAGAAUCAAAGGGCACUUGCCAAUGCCCAAGGGGCAUCCUUUAAGGGGAGUUUUCUUGAAGGAACUGUUUGAUAAUCUUUGCUUAUAUUGAGUUGACCAGAGCAGAGCUGCAUCAAUCCACCAGGGAGGCAAAGAAAUAUAGUCAAAACAUCUGACCACAGUGCUGCUCCAAUGAGAUAGAACACUAUGGGAAGGGAAGAAAAAGCAGCAUGAGAUUGAGUAGAUGACCAAGGGUCUUUACAAACCCGUUCUCUUUACUUUCCUAUGUUUUCUUAAAAGAAACAACCACUGAAUUUGGAAGGAUAAAAGAGACUACAGUUCUUUCUUUCCCACCCUCAUCAUCUUACUUCAUACUCUUCUUACCUUUUUGCUUAGAUUCUUGCAAAGUUACAUGUAAGUCCCUACUCCACUUUUACUAUUUCCUCGGGUCUCCACGCAUUUAUUAAAGAAGAGAGUGUUGCUGAUGGGCACUGUGCAACAUGCUCAGGAUGAAAGAAACAAUGUCCUUGUUCUUGAUUUGAUCUACACAUUAUAUACCUGUCACAAACAUCACACUGUACCCCAUAAAUAUGCACUAUUAUUAUGUGUCUAUUAAAAUCAAUCAAUCAUCAAUCAAUCCCAUGACCUUUGUUAUGGUACAUAUAGUCCUGUCGGGGAGACCAACAUGCCAGCAACUGGUCCCAGUACACCACAUCACAGGAUGAGAUGGACGUGGACGAAAUGAAUUGAGGAAGCAGAGAGAAAACCAUGGCUACUGGAGCCUGGGAAAGUCUGAGAAGACUCUAUAGAAAAGUGGAUAUUGUCAGCUGAGUUGUGUUUUAGUAAGCAUUUCACAGGCCAACUCAAAGAGAAAUAAUAAGUUUUCUGUGUUUGCAAACUAUUGCCCAUGAAAAACUGAGGGGUGACAUACUUGACCUCACUCCAAAUUUAAUUUUUAAAGAAAGGAAUCAUAAGUAAAAGUAAUUUAAAAUAUAACAUUACAGGGCACAGUAUUGAUAAAUGAGAGGAAAACUGGUUCUUAAAGAGUGUACCACUCACUGACCAUGCCCUGAAAUUAACUGAGAACUCAUUUGUCAAGAGUGUACCUACCCUGAGAAAAUCUUCCAAUUAACAUCAAAAGUGAUCAUUCUUAACCUCUCAUGCAUUAAGAAAUUCUUGUCUGCACCUGAUGUUCUGUUCAUAAUCAAUGGAGCUCUUUAUGUAUGUUAUUUCAAAUUUAUCACCCUGUAUAUUACUAAAAUGAACGAAUUAAUAAAUGAAUCUGCUGUAGGUCCAGAAGCCAGAUUUAUUUGUUGUCUCCUGGUUCUCAUAGGAUUUUCCUUUGGUCUGUAAGUCAUUUCACUCUGCAGUUUCUCACAGUUUCCGAUAUUUAUUGAUAGCUACUGACAGCAUGUGUUGGUACUUACAGACCAAUGGUGUCUAUGUAAGAAAAAUGCUUUUUGGGAGGAUUAGAUCUGUUCUGAAAAAUGUCAGCCAUGUCACUAUCAGACUAUGCUAAGAAGACAAUGCAAAAGUCCUAUCAGUUCUAACUGUAAUAUAUUGUCACAGAAACAUGCCUCAAGAUAAAUUAAGUAAUACUUGAUGCUGUCAUGGUAAUGGGAAGAUUGAUAAGUUUAUAAACUUUGGUUGAGAACAAAUUAGUGCAAUAUUCUUGGUGGCCACUAUCACGAUAUGAGAUUAAGAUAUGUUAGGCUAUAUCCCUAAAUUUGGACCCUUAAUUUCUACCUAUAAGAAUCUACCUAUGAAAAUGAUUAAAAUUUAGAAUAUGAUGUAGAAAAUGGAAGUCAGAGCAUUCAAUAAACUGCAAAAUAUCCAAGAGCUCGAAUAUUAUGUAGUCUAUCAAAAAUUCUGUCUUCAAAUAUUUUUGAUUACAUAAAAAAGUGCCUGUUACAUUCAGUGAUGGACAAGAAGGAAAGUAUUAAGGUCUCAUCCCUCUCUAUGUGGAUAAAUGUCAUUCAUGUUUAUGCAUGCAUAUCUUUCAUGUGAUUUGCACUGGACUGCUAAGAGUUUAAGUGAUUCCUGUUAUCUUCAGGGUUAUCUAAAUUUUAUAACUUUCUACAUCAAGAAGUGUGAGUUUCAUAAUCAGGAACAAAAAAGAAAAUCUUAAAAGGAAAGCUAAACAAAGAUCAUGCAAGAGAGUAGGAAGGGUUUGUUUUUGGCCCUUUUCAUAUGUAAUUGUCUACACUAAUAAUUCUCAGACUUGCAUACCAAGUGAAGUCAAUCUCACUAAGGGUCUCAAUCAAGACUCAGGCUUGAGUGUGUGCUCCAGGCUCUGAGCAUUCCCCCAUCACCCCUCUCCAUCCUGUCCUCCAAAUUUCCAUCCAUUUUUUUUUUCAAGCCAGGAAUGUUCCCAUAUGUCUGUAAUCCCAGCACUUUAGGUGGCUGAGGCUGGAGGAUUGCAUGUUCAAGCCCAGCCUGGGCAAUUUAGUGAAUUGGAAAGACAUUGUUUCAAAAUGUAAUAAAUGAAUGAAUGAAUGAAUGAAUAAUAAAUAAAUGAAUGGGCUGAGGAUGUACCUCAGUGGAAAGGCCCUGUGUUUAAUGCCCAGGAUUGAAAAAAGGAAUUUACUUUUUUACCAAAGCACAGCUAUUGUCAUGUGACUCCCUCCUUGAAGCAUCAUUAUAACUUCCUGACUGCUCGGCGUGCUCAGCGUGGCUCCAGCUCCUGUCCACCGUCUGAUACCUUUUGUAUCGCCUCAUCUUCUGACACUCCAGCCCAGCAGGCGUCUGGUUCCCUUCACGACACGCCUCACUCUGCCCUCCCAGUCACUGUUUCCUCAUGUUUGUUCGUUCUGCUCACCCUUCAAAGCCCUGCUAAAAUUCCUAGAAUGUUCAUUGUGAAUGUUUUCCUCCAUCAUUUCCUCUGUGGACUGUAUUGGUCUCUUUUAUUGCAUUUACCAGGAUUUAACUUGUUUCAUGCUUACUUGUGUCUUUCUCUUCUUGUGUUGUUAGCCCCCCAAAUUAUACCAUCUGUUGUGAUUUUCAGUUGUUAGCAGGUAUUACAGUCAUCUAAGGGUUAAUUAAAACAGAAAUUUGGGGUCCCAUUCCAAGUAUUUCUAAUGCAAUAUACCUGUGGAGGGGCAUAGGAAAGUCCUUUUCCAAUAAGGCCACAGGCGCUGCUGCUACAGUUGGUGACAGAAAACACUUUGAGAACCAUUGCUUUCCAAGGAGGGUGAGAAUGAUGUAAAACAAAUGAGACUCUGCUUUGCUGUGGAAGAUAGAGCACGGAUAGUGAAAUCAUAGGAUUUCAUGCAACUUGGGUUAGAUUUCUGUUCUGUCACUUGAUGUUUGAACAAGUUACUUAACCUUUCUAAGAAACUUAACUUUCUUGCCAGGUAGUUUAGGAACAUUAUUAACUCUUAUAUAAGAAUUUUUUCUGAGGGUUAUAUAGGAUUGCAAAAUACCCAAUAAAUGGUGGCUACUACUAUGAAUCCAUUUAUUCUACAAAAUAACCGUGUAAGAUACGUUUUUGCUCCCAUUGGCCGUACUGUACCCCCAGACAGCUUCUUGGACUUUUAAUUAAAG